UCAGUUUUAUCUAUAUAUAAUCAAAUCAUAUGCUCGACUUUUGGAAUCACAGCCUCACAGAAUACAGAUACAUCUUCUACACUUGGAUCGUAAGUUUUUCAUAUUAGAGUUUUUGUUUGAUUUUAGAGAUUAAUCUGCAUGUAGCACCCCGGGCUUCUCUGAAAAUACAAAUUGGAUGAAGAAGAAAGCCCCAAUGCUCGUGCUAAAUUAGAUAUACAGCCGUCAAGUGUUGCAGUUCAGCCUGUUUGUACCUUUUUCCAUGGCCGUUUCUGUGUCAAAUCGACGGCUACAGAUAAUCAAUCAAGUUCAUAGCUUUAUCAAUUUCAUAUGUUCUGCCUCACAACACCUUAAGCCUUUUUCCUUAAUUUCUAUUGGAAAGAGGUCUAGUCAUGGAGGCAUAUAGUUAACCCUAGGCGGCGUUAACGUGGAGAUUUUAAGUAAGCCGAUGAUGAUAUAAUCCAAAUGUUGGAGGUAUAGUGGAUCCAAGACCUUGUUUUACAGGGAGAACCACUUGGUGAAGCUGUAUUUCAGAUGAUAUUACCGGAUUUAACCGAGGUGCUAUGUAUUUUUUAUGACUAAUCUUAUUGGUAUCUAGUACUCUUUGCCUUGAAAUACACAAACGGUUUGGAGUCUGAAAAAACUCAGAGAGCAAUGUGUUGUCAUCAGCUUCUUCUUUCGUAACAUUAACGAGAUUGGAAUUAAAUAACAGCACUAGAUUUUUAGAAAAAAAUGUCUACUACGAUGCUACCCACAUCGUGGGUUUUGUUUUUAUUCUUUACAUGGAAUUUGUGCGCAUAUUUGUUAUUAUGUUGAAUCAGCAAUCUGUUUAUUUUUAAAUAUGACUCUUGUUGAUCAUUAGUGGAAUUUGUUUUUAUAACAAAAAAGUGUAGCAAAAUUUGAUAAGUAGAGAACUUAAAUCAAAAUCAGUCUGCAUGACAGUGGUCUGAGAACAUUUGAUGUAGGAUACUGGAACUGGAUUGCCAUUUGUUGAUAAAUGUUCUGCCGACAAGCUUCUGUGGCCUAGUUUUUGUUACGCUACGUGGUAUAAUGGAGGAUAUAAGGUCAUGUGAGAUGCAAAAGUUCCAACAAAUUAACAUGUAUAUUGUGAUGUAGGUUGAUACAAACAGAUAUUGUGUAAAUGUGUAAUGAAAGAACAAAUGACUAAACUUGUGUUUGUUAAAACCUUAUUAAAAAGAUGGUUGUGGUGAAGAUUGUGGAAUGCCAAGAACUUGUGUUUGUUAAAAACUUUUUACUUA
Lactuca sativa (garden lettuce) is the source of this 1256-nucleotide long non-coding RNA. RefSeq lists it as uncharacterized. NCBI's taxonomy places the organism in Eukaryota, Viridiplantae, Streptophyta, Magnoliopsida, Asterales, Asteraceae. The record is from RefSeq and is a predicted model, not a curated record.